This 707-nucleotide long non-coding RNA is filed under the name Manihot esculenta (cassava). RNAcentral describes it as "long non-coding RNA (MESC_LNC001126)". Lineage: Eukaryota; Viridiplantae; Streptophyta; Magnoliopsida; Malpighiales; Euphorbiaceae. The record is from RNAcentral.
UUAUAAUGUGCGUCUAUUUUGAUUAAUUAACGCUCUACAUCUUUUUCUAUUUUUUGGAAUUUAAUGAAAAAAAAUGAAGAAACAAAGACUGAUUGAUUGCUUGCUUGCUUUCUUAUUUGCCUUUUGUUGAGGUACCUUUUCCUCCUCUCCUUCGUUUUUUCACUUUAUCCAUAUUCCUUCGCUUGCUGAUUCCAUGCACUCAAGAAGUAAUACGAGUAUGCAAGGUAGUAAGAUAAUCAUCUUGCUUAAAAAAGAAGAAGCUUUGAAAGAAAAGGAUAGAAUACCUACAAACUUAGUUGAAUUAAAUUUAAAUGAGUCUUUGUGCUCUGUUUUGCAAGAAAAGGAUUUGUUAGCAGAGGUUGACAAUAAAUGAACAAGAGUUGCAUGAAGAAUCUGUUGAGAACAUACCAUAUCGGAAGACCCUCAAUUGGGUCUUCAUCCAAAACAAAGGUGGUUUCAGAAAAACCACUUGCAAUUCCAUUUUCUCGGGUCAGAUGCUUUAUCUUGAUCAUCGGCAUUUCAUCAAGACCGCAACUGUAUUCUUUUAGUUCUUAAUCAUGUAGCUUAAUAUCUUUAAUUUCUGGGUUUGCGCUUUUUUUUUUAGUCAAUUUGCAUGUUUUGUAAUGCAAGUAGCACUUUUAUGGAUGAUUUUCUGAGAUUUUGAGCAAUUUUAAGAAAUCUAUAAAUUAUAACCUUUUUCCAUUAAA